This 1038-nucleotide long non-coding RNA is filed under the name Coturnix japonica (Japanese quail). RNAcentral's name for it is "lncRNA (ENSCJPG00005019539.1)". Lineage: Eukaryota; Metazoa; Chordata; Aves; Galliformes; Phasianidae. The record is from RNAcentral.
AUGCCUGCCCUAUUUAUUUCUGCUACCAUGGAGGAUGGAGAUGAGCAUCAUGGCUGGUGCAGGGGCCAAGCCCCAUGCUGCCGGGGGGACCCCAGCUCCAGUGCUCUGGUGCCCCCACCGGACAACUACCUCAGCCUGCCUGGCCCCAGGCACUGCCACCCAUGCACCGCCGCCCAUGCACCAGUUAUGUCUUCAAUAAAGGUGCUGUGCAAUGGGACAAGGGUGCUGUGUGGUGAUAUGGAGUACUUCACUGCCCCCCCGGCCCAGUUCCUAUGCAGCCCUGUGGGGUUGGUGCCAGGCAGCCCUGGCUCCUGGCCUACCCACAGGCUGGGGCACUUUGUCCCUGACCCGGCUGACCCUAUGCACACAGCAGGGCAGCCAGCUCUGCGGCAAAGCGGGCCGGCAGCCAGCCCCCAGCCGCCACAGUGCAGCCCAUGCUGGGCUUUCCCAGGCUGUUCCUGGCAGCUCCCUGCAUCCCUAGAGCAGGGAUGGAGCAGCUUUGCCACUGGUAGCCCUUGCUCACGGGGACAGGGUGGGGACACAGAGAACAACAUGCCCCUGCUCUGUUUCUUUCCCCUUUUAAAGGCAAUAAAUGAGAAUUCCAUCCGACAAGCCACCAGGUGCUGCCACCCUCUCCUGCCUGCAUCCCAUUCCCACCCCCAUGCACCGAUGCAGGACAUAGAUAGGGCUUCCAUCCCCUGCCUCACCCCGUGCAGCCAGGACCAGUCUCCACGUGCUGGCCCCAGCACGUGGAUAGGCCACGGGACGGUAGCCUCAAGCACAGCCCGUGGCAAGGCGCGUGCUGAUGGAGGCUCAUUGUGCCAAACCCCCCUGCUCACUGCCGGACAGCGGAAAGAUGCUUUCCAUGUGAGAGCAUCCUCUCACCCUGAAACUUUCCGCUGUCUGGGCCACCUGGCUGAGACAGAGACCAGCUGGCAGUGGGGCCAGCAGCCGCAGAGCAGGGUCAUGACCAGUUCCUCUGCCACUGCACUGGGGACAGCCAGGGGACAGGGGGUGGCCAGGGCAAGGUGGAGUUGA